GCGGAUGGCCGGGCGGCCGCGGGGGUCAAAACCCCCGAGGAAAGUCCGGACUCCAUGAGAUAACGGUGCCGGGUAACGCCCGGCCGGGGCAACCCGAGGGAAAGCGCCACAGAGAAGAGACCGCCCGCGCCCCAGGGUGCGGGCAAGGGUGAAACGGUGGGGUAAGAGCCCACCGCGGGACGGGCAACCGGAACGGCACGGCAAGCCCCACCGGGAGCGAUGACGAAUAGGGGCCUCGCGCGGGCAUGAUCGGCCUCGGUCGAUAUCGCCGCAGGGACGUCUCAGC
This 286-nucleotide RNase P RNA is filed under the name Paracoccaceae bacterium. RNAcentral's name for it is "Rhodobacteraceae bacterium (activated sludge metagenome) partial RNase P RNA component class A". It matches the Rfam family "Bacterial RNase P class A", at positions 1 to 293 of the family's 367-position model. Rfam says of the family: Ribonuclease P (RNase P) is a ubiquitous endoribonuclease, found in archaea, bacteria and eukarya as well as chloroplasts and mitochondria. Its best characterised activity is the generation of mature 5'-ends of tRNAs by cleaving the 5'-leader elements of precursor-tRNAs. Cellular RNase Ps are ribonucleoproteins. The record is from RNAcentral. Lineage: Bacteria; Pseudomonadati; Pseudomonadota; Alphaproteobacteria; Rhodobacterales; Paracoccaceae.